Molecule: ribosomal RNA, 302 nt
Filed under: uncultured bacterium
Lineage: Bacteria
Description: partial 16S ribosomal RNA
Rfam family: Bacterial small subunit ribosomal RNA
Source: RNAcentral
GCAGUCGCCACGGGAAUACAGAGGGUGCGAGCGUUAAUCGGAUUUACUGGGCGUAAAGCGUGCGUAGGCGGCUUUUUAAGUCGGAUGUGAAAUCCCUGAGCUUAACUUAGGAAUUGCAUUCGAUACUGGGAAGCUAGAGUAUGGGAGAGGAUGGUAGAAUUCCAGGUGUAGCGGUGAAAUGCGUAGAGAUCUGGAGGAAUACCGAUGGCGAAGGCAGCCAUCUGGCCUAAUACUGACGCUGAGGUACGAAAGCAUGGGGAGCAAACAGGAUUAGAUACCCCCGUAGUCCCUGUCUCUUAUAC